CUACGGGUUGCAGCAGUAGGGAAUUUUCGGCAAUGGGCGCAAGCCUGACCGAGCAAUGCCGCGUGAAUGAUGAAGGCCUUCGGGUCGUAAAAUUCUGUUGUUAAGGAAGAACAUACAGUCUAGGAAAUGAGAUUGUACUGACGGUACUUAACCAGAAAGCUCCGGCUAGCUACGUGCCAGCAGCCGCGGUAAUACGUAGGGAGCGAGCGUUAUCCGGAAUUAUUGGGCGUAAAGCGUACGUAGGCGGUUUGUUAAGUCAAAUCUGAAAGCCCCCAGCUUAACUGGGGAGGGUGAUUUGAAACUGGCAGACUUGAGUAUGGCAGAGGUAAGUGGAAUUUCAUGUGUAGCGGUGGAAUGCGUAGAUAUAUGAAGGAACACCAGUGGCGAAGGCGGCUUACUGGACCAGAACUGACGCUGAUGUACGAAAGCGUGGGGAGCAAACAGGAUUAGAUACCCGGGUAGUC
Molecule: ribosomal RNA, 464 nt
Filed under: uncultured bacterium
Lineage: Bacteria
Description: partial 16S ribosomal RNA
Rfam family: Bacterial small subunit ribosomal RNA
Source: RNAcentral